This 300-nucleotide unclassified non-coding RNA is filed under the name uncultured Pleosporales. RNAcentral's name for it is "sequence contains 5.8S rRNA gene, ITS2". The stretch from base 1 to 85 matches the Rfam family "5.8S ribosomal RNA", at positions 66 to 154 of the family's 154-position model. Lineage: Eukaryota; Fungi; Ascomycota; Dothideomycetes; Pleosporales. The record is from RNAcentral.
UGUAUAAGAGCACGGUGAAUCAUCGAAUCUUUGAACGCACAUUGCGCCCUUUGGUAUUCCUUAGGGCAUGCCUGUUCGAGCGUCAUCUUACCGCUCAAGCAUCGCUUGGUGUUGGGCGCCUGUCCCGCCGCUCGCGCGCGGACUCGCCUCGAAGACAUUGGCGGCCUGUGUACCGGCCACGAGCGCAGCAGACCCGCGCCUCGUGCCCACCCCGCAGGCGUCCAGGAAGCGAACCCCCCAGUUUGACCUCGGAUCAGGUAGGGAUACCCGCUGAACUUAAGCAUAUCAAUAAGCGGAGGA